RNAcentral lists this ribosomal RNA (605 nucleotides) under [Candida] sp. Levazot31. RNAcentral describes it as "SSU rRNA". It matches the Rfam family "Eukaryotic small subunit ribosomal RNA", at positions 873 to 1505 of the family's 1831-position model. Lineage: Eukaryota; Fungi; Ascomycota; Saccharomycetes; Saccharomycetales. The record is from RNAcentral.
UAGGGACGGUCGGGGGCAUCAGUAUUCAGUCGUCAGAGGUGAAAUUCUUGGAUUGACUGAAGACUAACUACUGCGAAAGCAUUUGCCAAGGACGUUUUCAUUAAUCAAGAACGAAAGUUAGGGGAUCGAAGAUGAUCAGAUACCGUCGUAGUCUUAACCAUAAACUAUGCCGACUAGGGAUCGGGUGGUGCUACUUUGCCCACUCGGCACCUUACGAGAAAUCAAAGUUUUUGGGUUCUGGGGGGAGUAUGGUCGCAAGGCUGAAACUUAAAGGAAUUGACGGAAGGGCACCACCAGGAGUGGAGCCUGCGGCUUAAUUUGACUCAACACGGGGAAACUCACCAGGUCCAGACGUAAUAAGGAUUGACAAGUUAGAGACUUCUCUUGAUCUUACGGGUGGUGGUGCAUGGCCGUUUUUAGUCCUUGGAGUGAUUUGUCUGCUUAAUUGCGAUAACGGACGAGACCUUAACCUGCUAAAUAGGGCUGCGAGCAUCUGCUCGGGUGCUCUUCUUAGAGGGACUAUGGGUAUCAAACCCAUGGAAGUUUGAGGCAACAACAGGUCUGUGAUGCCCUUAGACGUUCUGGGCCGCACGCGCGCUACACUG